This 503-nucleotide ribosomal RNA is filed under the name uncultured bacterium. RNAcentral describes it as "partial 16S ribosomal RNA". It matches the Rfam family "Bacterial small subunit ribosomal RNA", at positions 30 to 523 of the family's 1533-position model. The record is from RNAcentral.
AUUGAACGCUGGCGGCAGGCUUAACACAUGCAAGUCGAGCGGGGGAGGUUGCUUCGGUAACUGACCUAGCGGCGGACGGGUGAGUAAUACUUAGGAAUCUGCCUAUUAAUGGGGGACAACAUCUCGAAAGGGAUGCUAAUACCGCAUACGCCCUACGGGGGAAAGCAGGGGAUCACUUGUGACCUUGCGUUAAUAGAUGAGCCUAAGUCGGAUUAGCUAGUUGGUGGGGUAAAGGCCUACCAAGGCGACGAUCUGUAGGGGGUCUGAGAGGAUGAUCCGCCACACUGGGACUGAGACACGGCCCAUACUCCUACGGGAGGCAGCAGUGGGGAAUAUUGGACAAUGGGGGGAACCCUGAUCCAGCCAUGCCGCGUGUGUGAAGAAGGCCUUAUGGUUGUAAAGCACUUUAAGCGAGGAGGAGGCUCUUUUGGUUAAUACCCAAGAUGAGUGGACGUUACUCGCAGAAUAAGCACCGGCUAACUCUGUGCCAGCCGCCGCCGUAA